This 127-nucleotide ribosomal RNA is filed under the name Pseudogemmobacter faecipullorum. RNAcentral's name for it is "partial 16S ribosomal RNA". It matches the Rfam family "Bacterial small subunit ribosomal RNA", at positions 1087 to 1215 of the family's 1533-position model. Lineage: Bacteria; Pseudomonadati; Pseudomonadota; Alphaproteobacteria; Rhodobacterales; Paracoccaceae. The record is from RNAcentral.
CGGCAACGAGCGCAACCCACACUUUCAGUUGCCAUCAUUCAGUUGGGCACUCUGAAAGAACUGCCGGUGAUAAGCCGGAGGAAGGUGUGGAUGACGUCAAGUCCUCAUGGCCCUUACGGGUUGGGCU